Molecule: long non-coding RNA, 160 nt
Organism: Sapajus apella (tufted capuchin)
Lineage: Eukaryota; Metazoa; Chordata; Mammalia; Primates; Cebidae
Exons: 3
Source: RefSeq, a predicted model, not a curated record
CAAAAAACUGCCUAUCAAGUACUAUGCUUAUUACCUUGGUGACAAAAUCAUCUACAUGCAAAACCCCCAUGACAUGUAGUUUACCUUUAUAACAAACCUGCACAUGUACCCCUGAGCCUAAGAUAAAAGUUAAAAAAAAAAAAAAGGAAAGAGAGAGUGA